Molecule: ribosomal RNA, 204 nt
Filed under: Triticum aestivum (bread wheat)
Lineage: Eukaryota; Viridiplantae; Streptophyta; Magnoliopsida; Poales; Poaceae
Description: partial small subunit ribosomal RNA
Source: RNAcentral
AUGGCGUGGUGGUGGUCGGCCCUGGCGGCAGAGGCCGUGGCUGCGCCGGCCGUGGUGGUGGCUGGCCCAGAGGCGCUCCCCAUGUCAUGGUGGUGGUCGGCCUUGGCGGCGGCGGCCGUGGCUGCGCUGGCUGUGGUGGUGGCCGGCCCGGAGGCGCUCCCCAUGGCGUGGCGGUGGCCGGACCAGGCGAUGAGAGAAAGAUAG